AGGCGCGUAGCUCAGUGGUAGAGCACAACUUUGACGUAGUUGGGGCCGUGGGUUCAAUCCCCUCCGCGCCUA
Molecule: transfer RNA, 72 nt
Filed under: Deltaproteobacteria bacterium
Lineage: Bacteria; Pseudomonadati; Myxococcota; Myxococcia
Description: tRNA-Val
Rfam family: tRNA
About the family: Transfer RNA (tRNA) molecules are approximately 80 nucleotides in length. Their secondary structure includes four short double-helical elements and three loops (D, anti-codon, and T loops).
Source: RNAcentral